CCUACGGGCGGCUGCAGUGGGGAAUAUUGCACAAUGGGGGAAACCCUGAUGCAGCGACGCCGCGUGAGUGAGGAAGUAUUUCGGUAUGUAAAGCCCUAUUAGUAGGGAAGAAAAUGACGGUAUCUGACCAAGAAGCACCGGCUAACUACGUGCCAGCAGCCGCGGUAAUACGUAGGGGGCAAGCGUUAUCCGGAUUUACUGGGUGUAAAGGGAGCGUAGGCGGCGGUGUAAGCCAGAGGUGAAAGCCCGGGGCUUAACCAGGGGACUGCUUUUGAAACUACAUGGCUCGAUUGCAGGAGAGGCAAGUGGAAUGCCUGGUGUAGCGGUAAAAUGCGUAGAUAUUAAGAGGAACACCAAUGGCGAAGGCGACUUGCUAGACUGUAAAUGACGCUGAGGCUCGAAAGCGUGGGGAGCAAACAGGAUUAGAUACCCUAGUAGUC
This 440-nucleotide ribosomal RNA is filed under the name uncultured bacterium. Its description in RNAcentral is "partial 16S ribosomal RNA". It matches the Rfam family "Bacterial small subunit ribosomal RNA", at positions 338 to 795 of the family's 1533-position model. The record is from RNAcentral.